GAGUUAUUUAUUCCAGGUAUUCCUUCGAACGAUUAGGUUUGAAAUUUAUGGGAUACGUGGAAGAAACGUUUAUUCCAUUUAUGUGAACUCGUUUAAGAAUAUAACUUAUAGAUAUUUCUGUUAUAACGAAUCUUCGUUUAAAAUUGGGAAAAAUUGAACACCAUCCAAGAACGAUCCUGUAUAUAUCCAUAUAGUUAUUUAUCGUUACAAUGAUAUUAUCUGGCUGGAUACGAUCUUGAUUCACGAGUUCCUGUCUCUAGAUUGUCACUGAGGAUUGAGGAACUUCGGUUGUCACGUGACUAUUUCAACGUGGAAGUCACUGUUAAAGAUGAUCUCUAACAGAGAUCACAUACACAUACCGUGAUCGAUUCUCCAGCCAUUUACAUUACACAGAGAGGCUUAUAAUUGUCGUUGAAACGAGAGAUUUUUCCUUCGAUUGCGAAAUAAAAAAAUUCUUAAGAUAAUUAGAACGAUUAGAAAGUCCAUGAUCUCGAUAUCGAAGAAUAGCAUAGGUUUCUCACUGCGAUCGUUUCAUUUGUAACGCCCUCAGUUCACGCUUAAUUGCGUUUCGAGAAUGAAGCGUUUAAUUUGCAUAUGUCGCGAUCUCGAGUGCGCUCACCACCAGAGUUAGACGUUGCACGCGAAUAGAAAGUGAUAAUUUAUGGUGAUUGACCGUUUAGACUUUGAGGAAGAAAGUUAUUAGUUGCGUUUGCUUAUCUGGUGAAACACGAUCGCCGGUUCAAACCGUUUCGAGGUUGUAAGGGGAAAGCGAAAUAAAGUAUCUGAUCUUGUUUGUUCGCAUUUUAGAUGAAAAAUUUUCGAAAUAUUUUAACGAAAUAUCGUACAUUGUGUCUGUUAUCUAGUUUUAUCGAGUUUUAUCUGAUCUUUAAAUAGAUUGAAGUAUGUGGAUAAUUUAAAUUUUAAAAGAAUAGAAGUUAACCAUGAGAGAUUUUCUCACCUUCUCUGACGACUAUGCAAAUUACUUGGUGGAUUACCUAGAAAACAAAUAUUUUUUUGUUGCAAAUGUAAAUCGAGAUUUCGAAAUAUAGAUCGAUUCCAUAUUAGUAUUUCAACCAUGAUCGAAAUUUAUUCAAAUUAUGAAACUCAACAAAACUAAAAGAAUUAAUUAUUCAAAAUAUGAAAAUCAUAUUGAUCUAAUUUAUUUGAAAUUUAAUCGAAUAUUUGACUCCAAUCCUUACAUAAUACAAAAUUUAAUACAAAAUUACUAUAAAAUACAUCAAAUAUCGUAUCGAUUAAUUUCACAAUUAGUACUAUUGAUAUCUCGACUACGAUCGAAUCAUCGUGUCAACAAUGGCGCAUAUAAAUCUCAAGUGAAUGAUAGAGGGACACUGAUGCAACACGGGAUUGAAACGAGCGUAUUGUUUCGACGAGGAACGCGCGCGCGCGUAACAUCGAUGCCCGACGAUAGAAACAAAAGUAGAAGGUGGAGGCAGUCGGCGGCGACGUGUGUACGAGGAAAGCCGACCACAUGAAUGAACCUUCCAUUCAUGCGUGCCUCUAACCCCUUCCUACAACCCCCGUCGCACCGUCUAUGGGAUCUUGUCGGCUACCAACGACACGACUAUGCGACACACACACAAGACGCAUACAUACAAACGUUGAGACACAAAGAUGAAAAGAGAGAAAGAGAGAGACAGAGAGGGAGAGAAAGAGUGCACAUGCGCACAAAACGAAGCGCCGCGACACACGUGACCGCCAUUGUUGAUCGCAAGGAAGAACCGGCAGCGCCAACCAGCCGCGUUAUUCCUGGCUUUUUUGCAAGAACCAGGACACUGAUAGCAUACUCGUUCUCCAGUAUUUCUAAGUGGUACCCUCGAGAGGUAUAAUACCGGGACGAAGGCUCAUUCAUUCGUUCGGUCACGUAACCGAGAUUAGGAGUGUUUGGCGCCGAUGUUUUUAACGGCUAAUGACGGUAUAUUCCUCGAUCUUUCGACGAAUGGAACACUUUCGAGAAUCUUCGAUCUGUAGUGAAUUACAGAACAGAUCAAUCCAGGUUGUUUUUUGUAAAGUUCACAUAGACGGGUUCUUAAUUUGGAUAUAGAGAAAAUUGGAAUACAUGAUAAAACAAGUUUAUUUCGUCGUUGGAUGUAGUGUUGGAUCAAGUUUUGUACAUUACUUAACCUAACAUUCGAAUUAUCGAAUAGAAGCAAAAUAUAACAGAAAUAAUAUAUUAAAAUAGAAUUGAAAUAAGAUAUGAACUGAAUUAAAAAACGUUUUGAACAGGAAUGAUGAUAUGAUGAAUUCAUCAAAUCAAAUAAAAUAACCAAAAUUAAAAUGAGAAUCAUGAUAACUCGUACAAGCUCAGAACCAUUACGACCGCAAUGUCCACAUCCAUAAACCUUUAUUUUCAACAUCUCGAGUAAUUAUUCGUAUUCAUUUCUUAAUUACUUCAUCGUAUUUCCAUUACCGCUAAAAUAUGACAAUAAUUAUGGCUAUCUAUCUUCCAGUUUUAUUUCUUUUGUAUUUAGACACCGAACCGUAAAUUCAAGGAAACAAGAACAAAACCUCUUGUAUCAUAGAUAUCAGUAAUGUAUCCAGUAGCUCAAGUUUGU
Molecule: long non-coding RNA, 2573 nt
Organism: Apis laboriosa (Himalayan honeybee)
Lineage: Eukaryota; Metazoa; Arthropoda; Insecta; Hymenoptera; Apidae
Exons: 2
Source: RefSeq, a predicted model, not a curated record